UUCGAGUGGCGGACGGGUGAGGUAACGCGUGGGUAACCUGCCUUACACAGGGGGAUAACACCUGGAAACAGGUGCUAAUACCGCAUAAGCGCACAGGGCCGCAUGGCCCGGUGUGAAAAACUCCGGUGGUGUAAGAUGGACCCGCGUCUGAUUAGCUUGUUGGCGGGGUAGGGGCCCACCAAGGCGACGAUCAGUAGCCGGCCUGAGAGGGUGGACGGCCACAUUGGGACUGAGACACGGCCCAAACUCCUACGGAAGGCAGCAG
This 265-nucleotide ribosomal RNA is filed under the name uncultured bacterium. Its description in RNAcentral is "partial 16S ribosomal RNA". It matches the Rfam family "Bacterial small subunit ribosomal RNA", at positions 90 to 354 of the family's 1533-position model. The record is from RNAcentral.